Zootoca vivipara (common lizard) is the source of this 1636-nucleotide long non-coding RNA. RefSeq lists it as uncharacterized. The record is from RefSeq and is a predicted model, not a curated record. NCBI's taxonomy places the organism in Eukaryota, Metazoa, Chordata, Lepidosauria, Squamata, Lacertidae.
UCUCAAAAAAGAGCAUAUAAGAUUACAGACUGAAAGGCAUGAGGAGAUGAAAUGACAUUUGACAUGUCACUUCAUCUCCUUCAGCUCUGCUCAAGUAACUGGACCCACCAACAAUCAUGGACCAGUGGGGGAGCUAUGCAAAACCUUUGAAAAAUAACUCCAUAUGAUCUGGUGUAUUUUUAGACAGCUAGCUGUGACAGGAGUGCUAAAGCACGUUUCAGAUUCUUCAGUCCCUAGUGAACAAACACAACAUUGUGUAACGUAUAGCACACUAUCUAAUGUAUCUUUAUUGUAAUUGCUAAGUAAAUAGGAAACAGGGGCAGGGCCAGGAAGCACUGAGAAGUCAAUUGUAAGCAAGUCUAAGAUAGUUUUGUGACAGGCAUUAAAGAAACAAUGCUGAAAAGCCGACUGGCUGCAGCCCAAAAGCAAAGUGGCAAGUUGGGAACCCAGCCAGGCCGGAAGCAGGUUUGCAGAGAAAAGGCUUCCAUACCUGCUCCAGAUAUCUUAGGAAAGGCAAAGAGAGCCUUAAAGAGGGGAGGGUGAAAGCACAGAAGCCGUUACUUCAGAACAGUCACCUCAGCGCCUUAGGCCCACUUCCACACACACAGCCCACAAGCCAAAUAUAGCCCAUAGCAUUGUAGGGAAGCCCACUGGAGAUGUGGCAAAGCAGUUCUUCCUGUCUGUCUGGGCUUGUCAAAUCAGGAAGCUGCCAAGAAUGCGACAGGUCUCAUACAAGGCUGAUUUGCAGGCUGCAUUUAGCUGGGUGCCAAUAUGAUCUGCUCUAUGAAGAUGACCAGAGAAUAUGGAAAAUUUGAUAGAUUGACACCUCCAGCAUAAGCUACCAAUAUUGGGGCAAGGAUUCUGGCUUCAUGAUGGGGUCCAGCUUGGACGCUGCAGUGACUGGUGGUCCUAGCUCAGGGGUCUCCGGUCCAAGCAUGUCUGAUUCUGAAGGUCUCUGCUUACUGGACUUGCUCCAGCACCUGUGGGUUGUGCUACUGCCUCUUCUGACCCUCCAGUUUCAUCCCCCCUCAAAAUCAGUGUCCACGUUGGUGCUGGCAGUCUAGAUGAUGGUGGCAGGCACCUCUACACACUCAGGAACCUUGCCUUUGCAGGUUUCCUUACUGCAUGGUGAGCUUCCUACUCAUUUACACUUGUAAACAUACACUUGUGUCAGAUGUUGAAACAAAUAGCCGUAAGUCAGAGACAACCUGUUGUUGAGGUACCUCCCUACCCCUACUUAUAGGCCAACCUUAUCCCCCUGCUGGCUUUAUGUUGGCUUGGAAUUGGUUUUAGUUGUUAUCUCUAUGCUGGAUUUUCCUCUUUUGUUGUUGUUGCUGUUGUUGUUGUUGUUGUUGUUUGCUGGUAUGGGCUAAACCUCUGGAGGGUACCAGGUUGGCAAAAGCUGUAAAUAAUAGUUGAAUAGUUUUGGCAUGUUCUCAUGGGAACACUAGCUAGAAUGGGACAAUUUAAGUACAUCAAAUUAGAAUUAAUUGAAGAAAAGCAUCCUUAUGGUGGGGCUGUCAAUGGAACUCAUGGUUUUUCUAGAAACCAGAGGCAAAGUUUGAAAGAGCUGCAAAAUAAAAAUCUUUCGGGGCAAAAUUAUGUUGGGUGAUGAUGGUUUUUUAAAUGUCACUAU